AGCUGAGUCAAUUAAGAAUUUCUUUUGUAAGCGAGUAUCAACGCACAUAUGAACAUACAUACAAACAUAUGUGAAUACAUAUAUACACACAUAUAUAUAUAUGAAGGUAUGAGGUGAAUAACACGAGAGUGAUGAAUAAGUGAAAAUGCAAACACACAGAUGUUUCUUUGGAAAUUAUACAAACCUACAGAAUUUUUUGCACUUUUUACAUAAUUUAGCUCACGCUGACAUACGCUCAAUCGGCAUAUAAUCACAGCUGUAACAACAAUGCACUGGCAACCAGCAGCAGGCAGCAGAUACUGUGGAGGUGACAGAUAUAUAUGUAUGUAGGUAUGAAUGUGCGUUUAGAGCGCGAAUAUUUAUUGGCAAGCACUUUGCUGGUCAAUUUGUUAGUGAUAGUAGCGGUGGAAUCGUUUUCACUACUAUUUGUCACUUUAGUAUGUAUGUACGCCAGUGCAUACAUAUGUAUAUAGUAUGUAUGGUCUUAGCUAAACUACACUCGCUUGACGGCUGAUUGGACUUUGUUUCCGAUUUUGUAUUAAUAUUUAUUGUCGUAGAAAAUUUUUACUCUGAUUAUUUUCUAUAUAUUUUUUCAAUUUUACGUUGACACUUGUGCCCUGGGAAUGUGUUAAAAUUUUAUUUUGA
This is a long non-coding RNA of Ceratitis capitata (Mediterranean fruit fly), 645 nucleotides long. RefSeq lists it as uncharacterized. The transcript has 2 exons. The record is from RefSeq and is a predicted model, not a curated record. NCBI's taxonomy places the organism in Eukaryota, Metazoa, Arthropoda, Insecta, Diptera, Tephritidae.